AUGAGGGGAUUGGAAAAGUUACGUGAAAAGUCAGAAUUUGGGAAAAGAGGCGGGUCUGAAAUGGGAAGAGAGCAACAUUGGAGCGGUCAUGAGAGAAGGGAUAAGAAUUCCAUCAACCUCCAAACUUUGAGGAAUAUGGGGCUACGACGACAACAUGUGGUGCUUUAUCACACAAGAGAAACAAUGUCGCGUCGGCGGCGAAGCCGCAGUGACCGUAAAUUAGUGUCUCUUUGGCAAUGGAGCAAUAUUGGGUCGUGCCGCGGUGGCGUCUACCAAGGUUCUGGAAAGUCACGCGAUGGAAGAAGCCACUACAGGGGUUGUAUGGGUUGGCGCAUGGGAGAAGCCGCAAUGGUGACAACCGUACUGCCGUAG
Vicia faba (fava bean) is the source of this 372-nucleotide non-coding RNA. The record is from the annotation of a GenBank genome assembly. NCBI's taxonomy places the organism in Eukaryota, Viridiplantae, Streptophyta, Magnoliopsida, Fabales, Fabaceae.